CGUAAAGCGCGCGUAGGUGGCUUGAUAAGCCGGUUGUGAAAGCCCCGGGCUCAACCUGGGAACGGCAUCCGGAACUGUCAGGCUAGAGUGCAGGAGAGGAAGGUAGAAUUCCCGGUGUAGCGGUGAAAUGCGCAGAGAUCGGGAGGAAUACCAGUGGCGAAGGCGGCCUUCUGGACUGACACUGACACUGAGGUGCGAAAGCGUGGGUAGCAAACAGGAUUAGAUACCCUGGUAGUCCACGCCGUAAACGAUGUCGACCAGCCGUUGGGUGCCUAGCGCACUUUGUGGCGAAGUUAACGCGAUAAGUCGACCGCCUGGGGAGUACGGCCGCAAGGUUAAAACUCAAAUGAAUUGACGGGGGCCCGCACAAGCGGUGGAGCAUGUGGUUUAAUUCGAUGCAACGCGAAGAACCUUACCUACCCUUGACAUCUACAGAAGCUGGCAGAGAUGCUGGUGUGCCUUCGGGAACUGUAAGACAGGUGCUGCAUGGCUGUCGUCAGCUCGUGUUGUGAAAUGUUGGGUUAAGUCCCGUAACGAGCGCAACCCUUGUCCUUAUUUGCCAGCGCGUAAUGGCGGGAACUCUAAGGAGACUGCCGGUGACAAACCGGAGGAAGGUGGGGACGACGUCAAGUCAUCAUGGCCCUUACGGGUAGGGCUACACACGUGCUACAAUGGCCGGUACAAAGGGCGGCGAGCUCGCGAGAGUCAGCGAAUCCCUUAAAGCCGGUCUCAGUCCGGAUCGGAGUCUGCAACUCGACUCCGUGAAGUCGGAA
This 773-nucleotide ribosomal RNA is filed under the name uncultured bacterium. Its description in RNAcentral is "bacterial SSU rRNA". It matches the Rfam family "Bacterial small subunit ribosomal RNA", at positions 559 to 1331 of the family's 1533-position model. The record is from RNAcentral.